RNAcentral lists this unclassified non-coding RNA (334 nucleotides) under soil metagenome. RNAcentral describes it as "partial contains 5.8S ribosomal RNA, internal transcribed spacer 2, and large subunit ribosomal RNA". The stretch from base 1 to 120 matches the Rfam family "5.8S ribosomal RNA", at positions 35 to 154 of the family's 154-position model. The record is from RNAcentral.
GAUGAAGAACGCAGCGAAAUGCGAGAAGUAAUGUGAAUUGCAGAAUUCAGUGAAUCAUCGAAUCUUUGAACGCACAUUGCGCCCGCCAGUAUUCUGGCGGGCAUGCCUGUUCGAGCGUCAUUUCAACCAUCAAGCCCCAGGCUUGUGUUGGAGCCCUGCGGCUGCCGCAGCCUCCCAAAACCAGUGGCGGGCUCGCUAUCACACCGAGUGCAGUAGUUUACUCUUCGCUCAGGGCGUGUGGCGGGUGCUAGCCGUAAAACCCCCAACUUCUCAAGGUUGACCUCGGAUCAGGUAGGAAUACCCGCUGAACUUAAGCAUAUCAAUAAGCGGAGGA